CGCAGGCUCCAAGCCCCGCCAAUCCGGGCCCGAGGCAGCGUCUGGCCCGCCAAUCCCGGGCCGCCUUUCUCGGCACCGUCCAAUCACAGCCCGCCUUUUCAAUCCGGCAGCGGUCUCGCAAGCUCAGACGCGGCGCGGCCCCUCCGCGCGGCACCGUCCCCCCGUUCCCCUCAGGCGCUGCUGGGACCACGGAAGGGCGGUGGGAGCUCCGCGGUCACGUCCCCUCCGGGAGCUCUCCCAGGAGAAGGAGAGGGAGGCGGGGAGCGGGCGGGAGGGGCUCCGGGAGCGGGGCCUGCGGGACCAGCGGGGUUCUCGGGAACGGGCGGGCGGGGAUUGGCUGGGCUGGCACGGGGGGGCGGGGCCGUGCGGGCCGCGGGCUAUAAAUAGCGGGGGAGGGGGGGCGGGGGGGGCAGUUCGGCGGCGGAGGUGGAAGCGGCGCUGGAGCGGCGGGAGCCGGGGCGAGAUCGGCGGUGAGCUGGGGCGGGACUCCCGCGGCUGCCGGUCCCGACGUGCAGGUCCGAUCCCGGCCCGCCACUCCCAGCCCGCUUUUCUCCGCUCCGUCCAAUCGUAGCCCGCCCUUUCAAUGGGGCCGCGGUCCCGUAAGCUCUGCCCGCUCAGCCGCGGAGCGGCGCCGCCCCCCUUCCCCACGUUCCCCUCAGGCGCUGUAGGUGCCGGCGCCUUUGCUUCCGGAGCCGCACCUGCGCUGCCGCAGCCCCCGACAGGCCCUGUUGGGACCAGGGAGGGCGGGUGGCACAGCUCCGCGCUCACGUCCCGUCUGGGAGUUCUUCCGGGAGGCGGGGAGGGGGCGGGAGCGGCGGCGGCCCUUUCAACGGGGCCGCGGUCGAGCAAGCUCUGCCCGCUCAGCCGCGGCGCGGAGCCGCCCCCCUCUCCACCUCGUCCCCCGCGUUCCCCUCAGGCGCCGGUCUCGGCGCCUUUGCUUCGGGAUCCGGCGGAGCCGCGCCUGCGCUGCCGCGGUGCCCGCAGGCGCUGUUGGGAGGGCGGGUGGGAGGUCCGCGGUCCCGUCCCGUCCCGGAGUUCUCCUGGGAGAAGGGGAGGGAGGCGGGGAGCGGGCGGAAGCGGAGCAGCCCCUGGGAGCGGGUCCUGAGGGGACAGCGGGGUUCUUGGGGACGGGCAGGGCGAGAACGGGCAGGCGGGGAUUGGCGGGGCCGGACGCUGCCGGACGCUGGGAUUGGCUGGGCUGGCACGAGGGGGGCGGGGCUGUGCGGGCCGCGGGCUAUAAACGGCGUGGGCGGGGGGCGCUGGGGGCAGUUCGGCGGCGGAGGUGGAAGCGGCGCUGGAGCGGCGGGAGCCGGGGCGAGAUCGGCGCCCGGGGCUGCAGAGAUACCCAGGAGCGGAUUUAGGCAGAGGCAGCAGAAAGCUGAGAACCUGGAGCUCAGGCAGCAGAGCUGGUGGAGACAUAAAGACGGUAGGACUGUGGGCAGAACAAGAGUGGGGCUGGAUUAGGGAGCAUGGACCUGGCAUAAGUACUGCAGGGAUGGAGCUGGGAUAAAAAUAGUCAGGCCUGGCCUGGAA
Molecule: long non-coding RNA, 1533 nt
Organism: Pseudopipra pipra
Lineage: Eukaryota; Metazoa; Chordata; Aves; Passeriformes; Pipridae
Exons: 2
Source: RefSeq, a predicted model, not a curated record